Astyanax mexicanus (Mexican tetra) is the source of this 245-nucleotide long non-coding RNA. RefSeq lists it as uncharacterized. The transcript has 3 exons. NCBI's taxonomy places the organism in Eukaryota, Metazoa, Chordata, Actinopteri, Characiformes, Acestrorhamphidae. The record is from RefSeq and is a predicted model, not a curated record.
AUGCCUACAAACCCCAGCAAAGCUUCUACAGCCCACCCUACUGUCUCAACAAACACUUCAGUCAGUGAACCAGAUGAAGACUCAUCUGGAAGAACACCUCAAAUUCUGUGGGCGGUCCUAGUCCUGGGUUGUGUGGUUGCUGGGCUCCUGGUAAUAAAGAAAGGAGUCCAAACAAAAAUAUACUACCAAGCAACACAUCCAAACAUCGAGAUUACAGGUAAAUAACGUGUUUAUUUUUAUUUAAC